RNAcentral lists this long non-coding RNA (546 nucleotides) under Equus caballus (horse). Its description in RNAcentral is "lncRNA (ENSECAG00000049986.1)". Lineage: Eukaryota; Metazoa; Chordata; Mammalia; Perissodactyla; Equidae. The record is from RNAcentral.
GCAGCUCCUCCCCCAGGGCGCCCUCCGGCCCCAGCAACAGCAGCACCAGGCACGUCAGGGCUAGUGCGCACGCGCACCGCAGAACCGGAGCCUGGAGGCGGCGAAGCAGACCAAGGGGCGGGCGGUCAUGUGACGCCCGGACCCGCGACUUGUGGCCGGCAGGGCGAGCUGGGGCACGGGGACCGCUCUGACCCAGGGACGUGUCUGCCUCUGGGACGUAGACAGGUGCACGAGCGCCGUAAGGGAUGUCCAGGUGCCCAGGCCGAAUGGUGCACCCCUGGACGUGCACAGGAAACAGGCUCAGAGAAGUUAGGAGACCUACUGAAGACCCGUGGGGCUGAGAUGCAAGCUCAGGAUGAGAUCUGGAGCAGCAGUCCCACCUUCUCGGAAAGCUACCCCCAGCCAGUUCCGUGCCUCUCUGUUCUUCAUGCCUCAGGCCAUCUGCACUGCUCAGUCCCCCUCCUUCGCCUCCAAGUCCCUUGGCCCAUCAGCCGCUCCUGACUGCAGGGCUGCUUGCUAUGCUAUGUGGCCCCUCCUCCUGCCCCC